This 65-nucleotide transfer RNA is filed under the name Praomys rostratus (West African Praomys). RNAcentral's name for it is "tRNA-Cys". Lineage: Eukaryota; Metazoa; Chordata; Mammalia; Rodentia; Muridae. The record is from RNAcentral.
GCCUUAAGGUGAUGUUCAUGUCGAAUUGCAAAUUCGGAGGAGUAGGAAACCCCCUACUAAGGCUU